Molecule: ribosomal RNA, 401 nt
Filed under: uncultured bacterium
Lineage: Bacteria
Description: bacterial SSU rRNA
Rfam family: Bacterial small subunit ribosomal RNA
Source: RNAcentral
GGGGAAUAUUGGACAAUGGGCGCAAGCCUGAUCCAGCCAUGCCGCGUGAGUGAUGAAGGCCCUAGGGUUGUAAAGCUCUUUCACCGGUGAAGAUAAUGACGGUAACCGGAGAAGAAGCCCCGGCUAACUUCGUGCCAGCAGCCGCGGUAAUACGGAGGGUGCAAGCGUUAAUCGGAAUUACUGGGCGUAAAGCGCACGCAGGCGGUCUGUCAAGUCGGAUGUGAAAUCCCCGGGCUCAACCUGGGAACUGCAUUCGAAACUGGCAGGCUAGAGUCUUGUAGGGGGGGGUAGAAUUCCAGGUGUAGCGGUGAAAUGCGUAGAGAUCUGGAGGAAUACCGGUGGCGAAGGCGGCCCCCUGGACAAAGACUGACGCUCAGGUGCGAAAGCGUGGGGAGCAAACA